GAAACCGGCCCCAAGAUGAGAUCUCCCACAGGUCAACCUGGUAAGACCCCUUGCAGAACACGAGGUUGAUAGGCCGGGCGUGUAAGGGCGGCAACGUCCUUAGCUGACCGGUACUAAUAGGUCGAGGGCUUGACCUC
Molecule: ribosomal RNA, 137 nt
Filed under: Bacillota bacterium
Lineage: Bacteria; Bacillati; Bacillota
Description: partial 23S ribosomal RNA
Rfam family: Bacterial large subunit ribosomal RNA
Source: RNAcentral